Molecule: ribosomal RNA, 465 nt
Filed under: Vreelandella stevensii
Lineage: Bacteria; Pseudomonadati; Pseudomonadota; Gammaproteobacteria; Oceanospirillales; Halomonadaceae
Description: partial 16S ribosomal RNA
Rfam family: Bacterial small subunit ribosomal RNA
Source: RNAcentral
CCUACGGGUGGCAGCAGUGGGGAAUAUUGGACAAUGGGCGAAAGCCUGAUCCAGCCAUGCCGCGUGUGUGAAGAAGGCCUUCGGGUUGUAAAGCACUUUCAGUGGGGAAGAAAGCCUUGGGGCUAAUACCCUCGAGGAAGGACAUCACCCACAGAAGAAGCACCGGCUAACUCCGUGCCAGCAGCCGCGGUAAUACGGAGGGUGCGAGCGUUAAUCGGAAUUACUGGGCGUAAAGCGCGCGUAGGCGGUCUGAUAAGCCGGUUGUGAAAGCCCCGGGUUCAACCUGGGAACGGCAUCCGGAACUGUCAGGCUAGAGUGCAGGAGAGGAAGGUAGAAUUCCCGGUGUAGCGGUGAAAUGCGUAGAGAUCGGGAGGAAUACCAGUGGCGAAGGCGGCCUUCUGGACUGACACUGACGCUGAGGUGCGAAAGCGUGGGUAGCAAACAGGAUUAGAUACCCUAGUAGUC